This 72-nucleotide transfer RNA is filed under the name compost metagenome. RNAcentral describes it as "tRNA-Thr". It matches the Rfam family "tRNA". From Rfam's summary of the family: Transfer RNA (tRNA) molecules are approximately 80 nucleotides in length. The record is from RNAcentral.
GCAGGUAUAACUCAGUGGUAGAGUAACCGCCUUGUAAGCGGUAAGCCGGGAGUUCAAAUCUCCCUACCUGCU